This 805-nucleotide ribosomal RNA is filed under the name uncultured bacterium. RNAcentral describes it as "bacterial SSU rRNA". It matches the Rfam family "Bacterial small subunit ribosomal RNA", at positions 116 to 918 of the family's 1533-position model. The record is from RNAcentral.
UAUCGGAACGUACCCUGGAGUGGGGGAUAACGUAGCGAAAGUUACGCUAAUACCGCAUACGAUCUAAGGAUGAAAGUGGGGGAUCGCAAGACCUCAUGCUCGUGGAGCGGCCGAUAUCUGAUUAGCUAGUUGGUAGGGUAAAAGCCUACCAAGGCAUCGAUCAGUAGCUGGUCUGAGAGGACGACCAGCCACACUGGAACUGAGACACGGUCCAGACUCCUACGGGAGGCAGCAGUGGGGAAUUUUGGACAAUGGGCGCAAGCCUGAUCCAGCAAUGCCGCGUGAGUGAAGAAGGCCUUCGGGUUGUAAAGCUCUUUUGUCAGGGAAGAAACGGUGAGGGCUAAUAUCCCUUGCUAAUGACGGUACCUGAAGAAUAAGCACCGGCUAACUACGUGCCAGCAGCCGCGGUAAUACGUAGGGUGCAAGCGUUAAUCGGAAUUACUGGGCGUAAAGCGUGCGCAGGCGGUUUUGUAAGUCUGAUGUGAAAUCCCCGGGCUCAACCUGGGAAUUGCAUUGGAGACUGCAAGGCUAGAAUCUGGCAGAGGGGGGUAGAAUUCCACGUGUAGCAGUGAAAUGCGUAGAUAUGUGGAGGAACACCGAUGGCGAAGGCAGCCCCCUGGGUCAAGAUUGACGCUCAUGCACGAAAGCGUGGGGAGCAAACAGGAUUAGAUACCCUGGUAGUCCACGCCCUAAACGAUGUCUACUAGUUGUCGGGUCUUAAUUGACUUGGUAACGCAGCUAACGCGUGAAGUAGACCGCCUGGGGAGUACGGUCGCAAGAUUAAAACUCAAAGGAAUUGACGGGG